This 468-nucleotide ribosomal RNA is filed under the name uncultured bacterium. Its description in RNAcentral is "partial 16S ribosomal RNA". It matches the Rfam family "Bacterial small subunit ribosomal RNA", at positions 28 to 507 of the family's 1533-position model. The record is from RNAcentral.
GACGAACGCUGGCGGCGUGCUUAACACAUGCCAGUCGAACGGAAAGGCCCUGCUUUUGUGGGGUGCUCGAGUGGCGAACGGGUGAGUAACACGUGAGUAACAUGCCCUUGACUUUGGGAUAACUUCAGGAAACUGGGGCUAAUACCGGAUAGGAGCUCCUGCUGCAUGGUGGGGGUUGGAAAGUUUCGGCGGUUGGGGAUGGACUCGCGGCUUAUCAGCUUGUUGGUGGGGUAGUGGCUUACCAAGGCUUUGACGGGUAGCCGGCCUGAGAGGGUGACCGGCCACAUUGGGACUGAGAUACGGCCCAGACUCCUACGGGAGGCAGCAGUGGGGAAUAUUGCACAAUGGGCGGAAGCCUGAUGCAGCAACGCCGCGUGCGGGAUGACGGCCUUCGGGUUGUAAACCGCUUUCGCCUGUGACGAAGCGUGAGUGACGGUAAUGGGUAAAGAAGCACCGGCUAACUACGUG